Long non-coding RNA from Rhagoletis zephyria (snowberry fruit fly), 161 nucleotides. RefSeq lists it as uncharacterized. The record is from RefSeq and is a predicted model, not a curated record. Lineage: Eukaryota; Metazoa; Arthropoda; Insecta; Diptera; Tephritidae.
AAUUGAAGUUUAUUCGGUGUAUGGAACAGCAGCAAAGGCUCACGCGUAGUGUUUCAGUUAGAGGUAGCGGCGCUAAGUCAAGAGGGACCGGGAGGGAUAACACUCCCGCUAUGCCAGCAACUAAUCCUCUGGUGAUGCAUUCACCGAUUGCUGACCAUACG